GCUUGUUGGACGGCUCGGUUCCCGCGUCGAUGAAGGACGUAGCGAGAUACGAAAGGUGUUGCGAAUUGCAAGAUUUCGCGAGUCAAUGACCAUCCGAAUGCAUCGCCGCCCUUCCUUCGCCUUCGGGCGGAGGGAGGACGCGUCGGCG
RNAcentral lists this ribosomal RNA (148 nucleotides) under Halimeda borneensis. Its description in RNAcentral is "5.8S ribosomal RNA". It matches the Rfam family "5.8S ribosomal RNA". From Rfam's summary of the family: 5.8S ribosomal RNA (5.8S rRNA) is a component of the large subunit of the eukaryotic ribosome. Lineage: Eukaryota; Viridiplantae; Chlorophyta; Ulvophyceae; Bryopsidales; Halimedaceae. The record is from RNAcentral.